RNAcentral lists this ribosomal RNA (108 nucleotides) under Neogale vison (American mink). Lineage: Eukaryota; Metazoa; Chordata; Mammalia; Carnivora; Mustelidae. The record is from RNAcentral.
UGUCUAGGCCAUACCACCCUGAACGCGCCCGAUCUCGUCUGAUCUCGGAAGCUAAGCAGGGUCGGGCCUGGUUAGUACUUGGAUGGGAGAAAACAUGGAAUUAAUUAU